AGGGAGAUAGUUCAGUUGGUAGAGCAGUGGUUUCCAAAACCAAAGGUCAAGGGUUCGAACCCCUUUUUUCCUG
Molecule: transfer RNA, 73 nt
Filed under: Bacteroidota bacterium
Lineage: Bacteria; Pseudomonadati; Bacteroidota
Description: Bacteroidetes bacterium (marine sediment metagenome) tRNA-Trp
Rfam family: tRNA
About the family: Transfer RNA (tRNA) molecules are approximately 80 nucleotides in length. Their secondary structure includes four short double-helical elements and three loops (D, anti-codon, and T loops).
Source: RNAcentral